RNAcentral lists this ribosomal RNA (489 nucleotides) under uncultured bacterium. RNAcentral describes it as "bacterial SSU rRNA". It matches the Rfam family "Bacterial small subunit ribosomal RNA", at positions 791 to 1276 of the family's 1533-position model. The record is from RNAcentral.
UAGUCCACGCCGUAAACGAUGUCAACUAGCCGUUGGGAGCAUAUAAGCUCUGAGUGGCGCAGCUAACGCGAUAAGUUGACCGCCUGGGGAGUACGCCGGCAACGGUAAAACUCAAAGGAAUUGACGGGGGGCCCGCACAAGCGGUGGAGCAUGUGGUUUAAUUCGAUGCAACGCGAAAAACCUUACCUACCCUUGACAUCCUCAGAACUUGUUAGAGAUAACUUGGUGCCUUCGGGAACUGAGUGACAGGUGCUGCAUGGCUGUCGUCAGCUCGUGUCGUGAGAUGUUGGGUUAAGUCCCGCAACGAGCGCAACCCUUGUCCCUAGUUGCCAGCACGUAAAGGUGGGGACUCUAGCAAGACUGCCGGUGCAAACCGUGAGGAAGGUGGGGAUGACGUCAAAUCAUCACGGCCCUUACGUCCUGGGGCUACACACGUGCUACAAUGGUAGGGACAAUGAGCAGCCACGUCGCGAGGCGGCGCUAAUCUAA